RNAcentral lists this long non-coding RNA (302 nucleotides) under Mytilus galloprovincialis (Mediterranean mussel). Lineage: Eukaryota; Metazoa; Mollusca; Bivalvia; Mytilida; Mytilidae. The record is from RNAcentral.
AAGCAAAUCAGCUUAGAAAUAUAGAACGUUUAAUCAGAUUUCAUUGUGAUGGUAAAAACAAUUCAGAAAUUUUCUGAUACUAGAUUUGUUUUACUAUCCUUUGGUGCCUACAUCAGGUGACAGGUUUUUAUCAUGAUGAGCAAUAAUUUAUUUCUGUGAUUAGUACUUUUGUUAGUAUUUUGUUUGAUUUCAUGACCACCAGGGUCCCAUUAGUGGUUUUCAAAAAAAUUAUAGUCUUUUUAUCUUUUGAGCACACGAAACAUUGAAAGCCAAAUAUUUUUAAGAAAGGAAUAACUUUUCCA